This 478-nucleotide ribosomal RNA is filed under the name uncultured bacterium. Its description in RNAcentral is "partial 16S ribosomal RNA". It matches the Rfam family "Bacterial small subunit ribosomal RNA", at positions 28 to 523 of the family's 1533-position model. The record is from RNAcentral.
GACGAACGCUGGCGGCGUGCUUAACACAUGCAAGUCGAACGGUAAGGCCCUUCGGGGUACACGAGUGGCGAACGGGUGAGUAACACGUGGGUGAUCUGCCCUGUACUUCGGGCUAAGCCUGGGAAACUGGGUCUAAUACCGGAUAGGACCACUGCCUGCAUGGGGGGUGGUGGAAAGCUUUUGCGGUGUGGGAUGGGCCCGCGGCCUAUCAGCUUGUUGGUGGGGUGAUGGCCUACCAAGGCGACGACGGGUAGCCGGCCUGAGAGGGUGACCGGCCACACUGGGACCGAGAUACGGCCCAGACUCCUACGGGAGGCAGCAGUGGGGAAUAUUGCACAAUGGGCGCAAGCCUGAUGCAGCGACGCCGCGUGAGGGAUGACGGCCUUCGGGUUGUAAACCUCUUUCAGCACCGACGAAGCGCAAGUGACGGUAGGUGCAGAAGAAGGACCGGCCAACUACGUGCCAGCCGCCGCCGUAA